CUGUGUAUACAUAUCUCUUCCUACUGUAUUUUCCACUGCAUGCAUCGGAUGAAGUGGGUUUUAGCUCACGAAAGCUUAUGCUCAAAUAAAUUUGUUAGUCUCUAAGGUGCCACAGAGACUCCUCAUUCUUUAUACCACUUAAGUUAGCAAUACAUCUGAUACAAUUUCUAGUUUUUAAAAAAAAUGCUAACCCUUUUUUCCCAACAAGACGAAGAUAAAGCAGUUAAAACUUUAAAAACCGCACAGCAGCAUGAAGACUGGAAAUGGGACUGUAUGUCACAUCAAUUUAUUGAUGAAUAUUCAUUACAAUAUUCUAAGUGGUUAACUCCAUGUUUUUUCCUGACAGGGGAUCUAAGGUUAUAAACUAAGCAGUAAAGAGUGCAUAAAAGUAGCAGUUACUUUUAAAGUGACAAAUCUCUUGUCGAUGAAUGCUAAAACCAGAUUUAAUGAACCACUGAAUUUUUACUUUGAGUUAACAUCAAAAUUGUGAUGUAUUUUGGUGAGAUGGAAAGAAAAGCAGUGCUGUAAAUUAGUCUGCACCUAGCAAUAACACUAUAGAGUGAAGUUCCAGUUGUCUGAGUAAUCUGUUGCUGCAGAGUAGGUUAAUCAAAGUUAAAUCAUCUGUGAAAUGGGUGGCUUUUGUUAAGCUGAAGUUUUCCAUCUGUAUUUCAUUGUAUAUUUAUGGCAUGUACUGAGAACUACAGGCAUAUAUAAAACUAAACUAUUUCUUAAAGAGUACUGUUGGAAUAUAUAAAUACUGGGAGUGUUAUUAGUAUUGCUGUAGCACUCAGAGGCCUUAUGUGCUGAAUUGUUAAAUAUAGUUAAAACCUGAGUUAAAAUAAUCAAAGUCUUAACCAAAUAAUAUUUUCAUCAUACAAGUUUUUAUGCAUUUUUUAAAACCAAUAAUUAAGCAGUUAGAAGUCGCCAAUAACAAAUUACAAAUCCUCAGUGUGGAGCUAAUGCAGCAAUAUUGUCUUUAGUUAACUGAAAUAAUUAGAUACGAGUUGCCCAAAUGCAUUUUACUGUACAGAGACUGCAAAUACAGUAAUUCUAUAAUCUACAAGAGUAAGGAAUACAAUAAUCGUAAAUUAAGAGGUUCCCAGUUUUAAAGUAUAUUACAUGUCAAAAGUGUCCCAUCUAUGCAAUAAGAUAUUGAAAUAAGUCAAGUCCAUCUGGUUCUGAGGAAAUACAUUACUAAAUAGCAUCCCAAGCAGAAACUGAGUGUAAUUCUACAUGAACUUUCACCUUUAUACAGAUCUUCUGUUGAUUUUCAUGUUUAUAAUACUUACAUGUUCACAUAUGCCUUUUUCUCUUUUUGUGUCUUUCUCCCCAGACUCCUGUAUAUUAUACUUAUUAGUACCACUGAAGAUGACAGCUUCAGGCUUUCAUGCAAUAUUUUAUUCUGCUGCCUAUCAGCAAUUCACUCAUAGGAAGUCACACUGAAUUCCCUAACGACAAACAUGAACUGCAAAACUUUCAGGGAGUGUGCCAACCUGGACACUUCCCCCAAUUACUUUCCAAAUGUAGGAUUUAUCUUGACCUACCUCAAAGCUGGAUUAGUUUUUGACCACCACAGGAAGGCCACUCUAGCACCAAGGACCCAGACUGAGCAAAUUCAAGAGCAUUAAGGCCCUCCAUUGAGAAUGUCUGGCUGCCUAUCCCCAAUGGUAAUUUAUUAUUUGUAUUACCGUAGCACCAAGGACUCCUACCAUGGAUCAGGACCCCGCUGUGUUAGGUGCUAUGUUUGCUUCCAUCUGUAACCAUGGAUAUCUGGUUUUUGCUCACUUUUUCUAGACCGUAUUCUUUACAUAGAGACUAGGAGUACUUUGUGGACACACAAGAUCUUCAAAUGACAAGAAGAUUCUUUAAGGAAAAGUUAUUCUAUCACUGAAAAAUUCUGAGAUGCCAGCCAGGUAUGAUCACACCAAAACAGUGAAUUACAUGAUGCCAGGAGAGCGGAGGAGAGUUUGAAACACUGACGGCAGACACCAUGACCAACACAAUGCAUGUAGAAUGUGAAUGCACAGCUAUAUGGUUCUUGCUACUGCAAGCUCUCAGAGGCAGAAUUGAGAAGACCUCAUAAAUAAAGAACAGUUAAAGUGGAAAUCAGCAUUUUCAUGAACUGGUGAGUUUCUGAAGAACAAUGUGAUUCCUUUGAUGUCUACUGAUGUACCCUUGCAUGGGUGCUUGACAAACAAGCAUUCAGCUUUCACUUUUGCCAGUGCUCCAAGUAGAAGCCACCAUGCAUAAACGGAAAAGAAAACUACAGAAAAGCCUUUGAACUGCCCUGAAUUUUUAUUCUGAAUGUUCCUGAGAAACAUAGGGAAUUGGAAAGAGAGGCAGAAGAGCUGCAAUAAA
Chrysemys picta bellii (western painted turtle) is the source of this 2358-nucleotide non-coding RNA. The record is from RefSeq and is a predicted model, not a curated record. Lineage: Eukaryota; Metazoa; Chordata; Testudines; Emydidae.